RNAcentral lists this ribosomal RNA (372 nucleotides) under uncultured organism. RNAcentral describes it as "bacterial SSU rRNA". It matches the Rfam family "Bacterial small subunit ribosomal RNA", at positions 526 to 896 of the family's 1533-position model. The record is from RNAcentral.
CGGAGGGUGCGAGCGUUGUCCGGAAUCACUGGGCGUAAAGGGCGCGUAGGCGGCCUGAUAAGUAGGGGGUGAAAUCCUGCGGCUUAACCGCAGGGCUGCCUUCUAAACUGUCGGGCUUGAGCACAGUAGAGGCAGGUGGAAUUCCCGGUGUAGCGGUGGAAUGCGUAGAGAUCGGGAAGAACAUCAGUGGCGAAGGCGGCCUGCUGGGCUGUUGCUGACGCUGAGGCGCGACAGCGUGGGGAGCAAACAGGAUUAGAUACCCUGGUAGUCCACGCCGUAAACGAUGGGCACUAGGCGUCGGGGGGAGCGACCCUCCCGGUGCCGUCGCUAACGCAGUAAGUGCCCCGCCUGGGGAGUACGGCCGCAAGGCUG